CCUACGGGUGGCAGCAGUGGGGGAUAUUGGGCAAUGGACGGAACUCUGAACCAGCCAUGCCGCGUGCAGGAAGACGGCUCUAUGAGUUGUAAACUCUUUUUGUACAAGGGUAAACCUGAAUACGUGUGUUCAGCUGCACGUACUAUACGAGUACGGAUCGGCUAACUCCGUGCCAGCAGCCGCGGUAAUACGGAGGAUCCGAGCGUUAUCCGGAUUUAUUGGGUUUAACGGGUGCGUAGGCGGAUUGAGAAGUUAGAGGUGAAAUGUCCGGGCUUAACUCGGGAACUGCCGUUAAUACUGUUGAUCUAGAGAGUAGAUGCGGUAGGCGGAAUGUAUGGUGUAGCGGUGAAAUGCUUAGAGAUCAGACAGAACACCGAUGGCGAAGGCAGCUUACUAAUCUAUAACUGACGUUGAGGCACGAAAGCGUGGGGAGCAAACAGGAUUAGAUACCCGUGUAGUC
This 460-nucleotide ribosomal RNA is filed under the name uncultured bacterium. RNAcentral's name for it is "partial 16S ribosomal RNA". It matches the Rfam family "Bacterial small subunit ribosomal RNA", at positions 338 to 795 of the family's 1533-position model. The record is from RNAcentral.